Molecule: transfer RNA, 73 nt
Filed under: Pristionchus pacificus
Lineage: Eukaryota; Metazoa; Nematoda; Chromadorea; Rhabditida; Neodiplogasteridae
Rfam family: tRNA
About the family: Transfer RNA (tRNA) molecules are approximately 80 nucleotides in length.
Source: Rfam by way of RNAcentral
CCAGCCAUAGCUUAGUUGGUAGAGCGGAGGACUGUAGAUCCUUAGGUCACUGGUUCGAAUCCGGUUGAGUGAA